GAACGCGAAGAACCUUACCCGGGCUUGAACCAAGAGUGCGGAGUGCAGAGAUGCGCUUUUUCUUCGGACACUUUUGGAGGUGCUGCAUGGUUGUCGUCAGCUCGUGCCGUGAGGUGUCGGCUUAAGUGCCAUAACGAGCGCAACCCUUUUCUACGUUUGCCAUCGGGUAAUGCCGGGAACUCCGUGGAUACUGCCGCCGCAAGGCGGAGGAAGGUGGGGAUGACGUCAAAUCAGCACGGCCCUUACGUCCGGGGCUACACACGUGUUACAAUGGUCGGAGCAGCAGGAAGCUACCUGGCGACAGGAUGCUGAUCCCAAAACCCGGCCUCAGUUCGGACUGGAGUCUGCAACCCGACUCCACGAAGCCGGAUUCGCUAGUAAUCGCGCAUCAGCCAUGGCGCGGUGAAUACGUUCCCGGGUCUUGUACACACC
RNAcentral lists this ribosomal RNA (432 nucleotides) under uncultured bacterium. RNAcentral's name for it is "bacterial SSU rRNA". It matches the Rfam family "Bacterial small subunit ribosomal RNA", at positions 957 to 1391 of the family's 1533-position model. The record is from RNAcentral.